UAAGGAAUAUUGGUCAAUGGACGCAAGUCUGAACCAGCCAUGCCGCGUGAAGGAUUAAGGCCCUCUGGGUUGUAAACUUCUUUUAUAGGGGAAGAAAUGUGACGGUUCUCCGUCACUUGACGGUACCCUGGGAAUAAGCACCGGCUAACUCCGUGCCAGCAGCCGCGGUAAUACGGAGGGUGCAAGCGUUAUCCGGAUUCACUGGGUUUAAAGGGUGCGUAGGUGGGCAGAUAAGUCAGUGGUGAAAUCCUACAGCUUAACUGUAGAACUGCCUUUGAUACUUUUAUUCUUGAGUUCGGGAGAGAGAGACGGAAUUCCAGGUGUAGUGGUGAAAUACGUAGAUAUCUGGAAGAACACCAGUUGCGAAGGCGGUCUCUUGGUCCGACACUGACGCUGAGGCGCGAAAGCGUGGGGAGCAAACA
This 422-nucleotide ribosomal RNA is filed under the name uncultured bacterium. RNAcentral's name for it is "bacterial SSU rRNA". It matches the Rfam family "Bacterial small subunit ribosomal RNA", at positions 355 to 774 of the family's 1533-position model. The record is from RNAcentral.